UGUGACUUUUUAUCCGGGGCGGGUGGGUUGGGGGUUGCAAAUGAAGGAAAUUUUUACAUGGAUCUUUUUAAUCUCAGUUGAUUGGGGAGGGGGGUUUGGUUCUAGGGUCAUACAAGCUCUAUCCCAAAGCAAAAUCCAAAUGUUAAUAAUACUAGCCUGAUGCAGAUACCAAAGACAAUUUCUUUCCUGCAGAACCUUAGACUUGUGUAUUAAGUACGAUUACCCAGCACUUGCAUUAGUCUAACCUCAGUAAUUCCAAAGCUUAGAUGUAUAUUUUGGUAUAUUUCCAGGAUAUUAAAAAAAAAUGUCGUUUAACUUCUUGUUUGUUUCAGUGUAAUGCUCUUAAAGUCAUAGCAUGAAAUAAUUGCGCUGUCCUAUUCUUGGUAGUUUGAAAUAAUAGUAUUUUUGUAUGUUUUGGGUGUGUCUAUGUAUUAACAUAACAGUUUUCACUGCCUAGGUGUAAUAAAAACGAAAGGUUCUGAGUGUACAUACUGUUUGGCAACAGUCUCCACCAGUGCCCACGGAGUGUGGAGUCACUGAGGACUGCCCAGCGGGGGGCUGGUUUUAAAGAGACGCUGAUUGUGUUUUUUUUUUAAGAUGUUUGUUUCUGUCUUUAAAUAUCUUAACUUCCCCACUUGUUUUUUUCCUUUUUUUUUUAAUUAAUAUUAAUUCAGGGGUGUUUUUCCACUGUUGUCAAGGGAGGAACACAAGGAAACGGGCACCUUGGCCUCCCAAAAUAUGUUAUUUUAUGUACUUUAAAAUGUGAGUUUUUGAGUUCUUGUGUGUGGAAACUUACAAGAUGAUGUACAUGAUUCUUUCCAGAGUUGCCCAGCAGCUUUAACGAGGCAGUGGCAAUUCCUGAGUAGUUAGUUGGGUGUCCUCUACAUUUCUCCUUCAGACGACUCUGCAGUCUGGGUGGCUAUUGUGUAGCCUCUCUCCCCAGAGUGUCCGUAGCCAUUUCUCCUUCAGUGGGGAUGUUUUAUAAGAUUCAGCUGAUAACUCAGAGCACUGGCCCUCGUUAUCUGUUUUUCUUGAUUUGGAAAACCUGAAACCCAAACAGUUGUACUUGCUGGGAUCAGCUCAUAGCUCCAGAGGCCCAGGAAGCGGUGGCUGUGAGCGGUGCUGUCUCUUUAAAAGUGCCCUUGAUGUGAUUCCCCUCCUGGGCUGCCAGAGGGGAUAGGGCUUGGGAAAGAUUGUGUGGGUGCCAGUGAAUCAGAAUGAAAUGGUGGGUUUUAUGUAGAUGCAUUUGUCUGCUGUAAUUUUUAUAUAUAUUAAACUUACUGUAACUGUACAGUUCUGAUUUCUGUUGUAAAACAUUAAACCAUUUUCCAAGUGUUU
Molecule: long non-coding RNA, 1338 nt
Filed under: Rattus norvegicus (Norway rat)
Lineage: Eukaryota; Metazoa; Chordata; Mammalia; Rodentia; Muridae
Description: long non-coding RNA NONRATT008912
Source: RNAcentral